AAACUCCCGGGCGCAAUGAAAGUGAAGGCGGCCCUCGCGCCGCCGAGGUGAGAACCCCUCCCCCUCGCGGGAGGGGCGCAUCAUCGACCGACCUAUUCUACUCUUAGGAAGGUUUGAGUAAGAGCGCACCUGUUGGGACCCGAAAGAUGGUGAACUAUGCCUGAAUAGGGUGAAGCCAGAGGAAACUCUGGUGGAGGCUCGUAGCGAUUCUGACGUGCAAAUCGAUCGUCAAAUUUGGGUAUAGGGGCGAAAGACUAAUCGAACCAUCUAGUAGCUGGUUCCCUCCGAAGUUUCCCUCAGGAUAGCUGGAACUCCCACGCAGUUUUAUCAGGUAAAGCGAAUGAUUAGAGGUCUUGGGAUUAAAACGAUCUUAACCUAUUCUCAAACUUUAAAUUGGUAAGAAGUCCGACUUGCUCGACUGAAGCCGGGCCUUCGAAUGCGAGUUCCUAGUGGGCCAUUUUUGGUAAGCAGAACUGGCGAUGCGGGAUGAACCGAACGCGCGGUUAAGGUGCCCAAGUCGACGCUCAUCAGACCCCACAAAAGGUGUUGGUUGCUACAGACAGCAGGACGGUGGCCAUGGAAGUCGGAAUCCGCUAAGGAGUGUGUAACAACUCACCUGCCGAAGCAACUAGCCCUGAAAAUGGAUGGCGCUCAAGCGUCGCACCUAUACCGCGCCGUCGGGGCAAAUGCCAGGCCCCGACGAGUAGGAGGGCGCGGCGGUCGUGAGGCAGCCUCUGGCGCGAGCCUG
Molecule: ribosomal RNA, 748 nt
Filed under: Stichodactyla mertensii (Merten's carpet sea anemone)
Lineage: Eukaryota; Metazoa; Cnidaria; Anthozoa; Actiniaria; Stichodactylidae
Description: partial large subunit ribosomal RNA
Rfam family: Eukaryotic large subunit ribosomal RNA
Source: RNAcentral